This 208-nucleotide ribosomal RNA is filed under the name uncultured Blastococcus sp. RNAcentral's name for it is "partial 16S ribosomal RNA". It matches the Rfam family "Bacterial small subunit ribosomal RNA", at positions 268 to 488 of the family's 1533-position model. Lineage: Bacteria; Bacillati; Actinomycetota; Actinomycetes; Geodermatophilales; Geodermatophilaceae. The record is from RNAcentral.
CCAAGGCGACGACGGGUAGCCGGCCUGAGAGGGUGACCGGCCACACUGGGACUGAGACACGGCCCAGACUCCUACGGGAGGCAGCAGUGGGGAAUAUUGCGCAAUGGGCGAAAGCCUGACGCAGCGACGCCGCGUGGGGGAUGACGGCCUUCGGGUUGUAAACCUCUUUCAGCAGGGACGAAGCGAAAGUGACGGUACCUGCAGAAGA